AUUGAACGCUGGCGGAAUGCUUUACACAUGCAAGUCGAACGGCAGCACGGGGCAACCUGGUGGCGAGUGGCGAACGGGUGAGUAAUAUAUCGGAACGUGCCCAAUCGUGGGGGAUAACGUAGCGAAAGUUACGCUAAUACCGCAUACGAUCUACGGAUGAAAGCGGGGGAUCGCAAGACCUCGCGCGAAUGGAGCGGCCGAUAUCAGAUUAGGUAGUUGGUGGGGUAAAGGCUCACCAAGCCAACGAUCUGUAGCUGGUCUGAGAGGACGACCAGCCACACUGGAACUGAGACACGGUCCAGACUCCUACGGGAGGCAGCAGUGGGGAAUUUUGGACAAUGGGCGCAAGCCUGAUCCAGCCAUUCCGCGUGCAGGAUGAAGGCCUUCGGGUUGUAAACUGCUUUGUACGGAACGAAACGGUCUGCCCUAAUACGGCAGGCUAAUGACGUACCGUAAGAAUAAGCACCGGCUAACUACGUGCCAGCAGCCGCGGUAAACGU
Molecule: ribosomal RNA, 500 nt
Filed under: uncultured bacterium
Lineage: Bacteria
Description: bacterial SSU rRNA
Rfam family: Bacterial small subunit ribosomal RNA
Source: RNAcentral